Long non-coding RNA from Bradysia coprophila, 616 nucleotides. Lineage: Eukaryota; Metazoa; Arthropoda; Insecta; Diptera; Sciaridae. The record is from RefSeq and is a predicted model, not a curated record.
AGAUGCGAACAUUAUUUAAUUUUCAACAAAGAAGGGAACAAUUGUUUGAACGAGGAUGUUGGAAAUCAUUGAUUUUUCAGAGUGUUAUCAACAGUGAAAUACGUCGAACGUGUUUGGUUCGACAGGAAACUCUGAUGGCUAGCUUUAUAGCUAGCCAUUGGAUUGGAUUGUAUUCUAAAUCGAACAUUACUUUCGAUAAAUGAACUUGGUGGAGUCCAGUCAAUACAAUCCAGAUGCACUCUCAAUUAUUGGUGAGCAGAUAAAAUAAUUUGAAGAAUAAAAAAAAAAUAAAAAAUUUAAAAAAAAAUCAAAAAAUUCUCUACGAUCAAGCUGAUGCCACUCUAAGAGUGAAUUUGAUAUGCUAACUAACGUCAUUGAACAUUUAAAGCUUGGAAGUAUGAAAUCUACUCGACAUUCAACAUCAAAGUGCUAGGUAAAGUGUAGACAUAGACGUACUAAUACUAAUGUGAGUUUUGUGUGCGUACAUUUAGCGGCGAACUCUGACUAUAUGUACAGGAUUAUAUACAGAAGGUAUAUAUACUAGUUAUGUACAGAAGGUAUAUACUAGUAAGACACUUAAACUCUGAAUCAGGCUUGAAAGUUGGGUGAUAUCGUA